RNAcentral lists this ribosomal RNA (253 nucleotides) under uncultured bacterium. RNAcentral's name for it is "partial 16S ribosomal RNA". It matches the Rfam family "Bacterial small subunit ribosomal RNA", at positions 524 to 776 of the family's 1533-position model. The record is from RNAcentral.
UACGUAGGGGGCGAGCGUUGUCCGGAGUUACUGGGCGUAAAGCGCUUGUAGGAGGUCCACCAAGUUUGGGGUGACAGUUGCCGACUUAAUCGGCAAAGUGCCUCAAAGACUGGCGGACUUGAGGGCCACAGAGGGACAUGGAACUCCAGGUGUAGUGGUGAAAUGCGUAGAUAUCUGGAAGAACACCAAAGGCGAAGGCAGUGUCCUGGGUGGUCGCUGACGCUGAGAGGCGAAAGCCAGGGGAGCGAACGGG